This is a long non-coding RNA of Tympanuchus pallidicinctus (lesser prairie-chicken), 3378 nucleotides long. RefSeq lists it as uncharacterized. The transcript is spliced from 4 exons. NCBI's taxonomy places the organism in Eukaryota, Metazoa, Chordata, Aves, Galliformes, Phasianidae. The record is from RefSeq and is a predicted model, not a curated record.
GAGGGGCCUGGUGUCUGACCCCGGGGGCGGAGCUGUGCCGGAGGCCGAAGUUCUUGCCCCGCGCUGGGCCCCGGCUGCCGCUCGGUGUGGAGGCCCGGCAGAGCCUGCUUUGUGCUCGGAGGCCGGGAGGAGCUGUGCGCGGAGACUGCGCGGAGACGGCGGCGGGCGCUGCUCGUGCCGCUCUGCGCUCCCGAAGGCCUUCGAGGUGACGAGAGUUACAGCAAAUACAUCGUUUAUUUAACGGGGUAUUCACGUUCUCCAUUAAGAAAUUAAGCUUUCAAAAUGAAAUACAGCUGUAUGUACAGUGCAAAAGGUCAGCACCCCUCUCCCAGCAUAACCGCGCUGACACAGCAUGGGGCAAACACGUUUUUCAGGGCAGAUUCAAGGGUUUCUUCCAGUAUAAAUCCUCACAGCACCCUGCUGCCCGUCAGAUUCAGGCCACUGAAUAUAUCCAAAAAUCAAUUUCUCAUUACUAGUCCUAGGCAAAUUCAACACAGGUAGCAGCAACUAGAAAUCAGGUCCUGCAGCAAUGCAGCACGGCCAGCUUUAAUCAAGAGUGCCUCAGCUGAUCUGUGUCAGGCCUGAUGAGCACAGAGCUCCCAUCUGAGCUCACUGUCUCUAAGCCAGCUGCCCAGCAGCAUGUUUUUGGCUGUACCAUCUCUGUUCAGACCUCUGAGACGCCCUGUAGUGCUUGGAGGAUGGGGAGCUGUGCUGCUGCUUGUUACCCACAGCUUCAGUGCAUGUAGUUGCUGUUGCUCCAUGUAGGCCGAGUAGCUUUAAAUGAGGAAGAGCAAUUAGCAGUCAUUACUGAGCUCUUGGAAGAGUUAAGCCACUUGUUUUUCCAGGCCAUUUACUGCUGUCAUGUCAGGGGUGGUCUGUCUUUGCUUUUUGCUGUGAGUACUCCCUGAAUUCUCAAGCAGCAAAGCUCUGUGCAGAGCUCACCAGGGGCCGUCGUGCGUAUCGUCAAGUGCCACGGGUUGCAGGGCGCUCUGCAUGGACGUGUCUGAAUGCUGCAAUUCCUGCAAGAAUCUCUGGAAAACAAUCACACCAUACAGAAAAUAGGAAUGAUCAUCAAGGAAGUCUUCCUGAUUUCUCUUGUUCUAUGAAAAGGAACUACACACUUUUGUGGAAAAUCUUGUGAAGAAGCUCUGAAGGAUGCAGGAUGAUUGUCCUGGUGCACAACGCAGAGGUUCAGGUCAAGGUGAAGCCACUUGCUGCUGUUUUGAUUUACUGAGCAAAUGCUUUUACCCAUGAGAUGUGAAGUGGGAUUCCUUUUGUCAAUACCAUUACUGUGCCACAAUUUAUAAGCACGGUGUUCUGUUGGCUGGGGUGCCACCCAUAGCUUUUGCAUUAGAAUCUUAAAUAUGGAUGCAGAGAUCCCUGUUGUAGAAGCCCCAUCUUGUGGACAACCAAUCAAUGACUACUUCAGCACUACGAAGAUUCAAAAUACUUAGAAAAGUUGAGGCUAAUUUUGAAGACUUUUGCAAUAAACUGCAGUGUCUUCGGUCUGCUGGACAGUAUGCAAACAUUCAUGUGCAGAAACUGGCAUUUGCAGAUGUUUCCACAGGUAAGCAGUAGUGAAUUACAGAGAGAAGGCAAACAGAGAUGGAGACAAGAAUUUGUUGCCAGAAUUCUAAGACUAAUUUUGCUGAAGUGCUGCUAAGCCUGAAUCCUGCACUGAAUUCCCAGAAUGGUUUCCUGUAGCAUCUUGUGUAAUACACGUUAGUCUCUGGCUGACAAAAUCACAUGAGGGCAGAAGAACAUUGUUUGAAAAGCUUGUUCAGACAAAAAGAAUAACAAAGACUGCAUGGAAACUGAACCUGGAAACUUUGGGAACAUCCUUCAAGGAAUGCCUUUUUUCAGCACAAAAUAAUCAAAAAGGGCAAGCAACCCAGAGUCAAUGAGCCAACAUACAUGGUACAAAGAGUAUUGGGAAGGGGAGGAAAAAUGUGAAAGUAAUCCCUAAUAUAAACUGUUUUCAGGUGCAAGUGUGACUAGUAGCAUAUACUAUAUAUAAUUGUGCAUAGUAUGUUCAAUUACACGGAAUUCUUAUAUAUUUAAAUAUAUAAUUCGGGUAUAUUUUGAAGAAAUUAUGCUAAUAUAUAAUAUCUAAUUUUCCAUUCAAUAACAGUAAAGAUUGUAAUAAAAUAGCCAGAAAGUAUAGCGACAUCUAGGGAAAGUUUAGCAGAAGUGCCUCCUUGCUGUAACCUAGCUCCAUCUCUACUCAUAAGGUUGGCAUUUGACAGAUGCAGUGUAUUAAAAACGGAAGAUUAAUUGCACACAUUUGUGGAGUUCUGUGCAUUCCUUCUUGCACUAUUAGGUUUUAUCAAGAAAAUGUAAGAUGAUAAUCUCAAGUGUAAAUUUGGAGAAAUACACACGCAUCUUCUGCCAGUGUUUAUAGAGUUUACUUGAAAGGAAAUAAGAGGUGUGAUUGGAAAUUACUACUUUGUGGAGAUGGGUAUCAUGGCUCAUAAAUGAAUGCACAUGUAGGUCACGUUAAAGAAAUAAGGAUGAAAAUUCAUUUUACUGCACACACUUCUGUAAAUAUUGAAUUUGGGUGCCUCUAGCCUUUGUAGAUAUUUAAUCUUUUUGCAUAUUAAGUUUUUAUUGUUCUCAAACUGUUGAUGAUGUUGAUAUUCCUAGUGAUUAAACAUAAAGAUUUGCAAUGGUGUUAGGGAAAUUUACAUCAUUUGAAAGCAAAGCUUGGUGUGUUACGUUGCUACACAAAUACAUGCAGUUGAACUGAGAGCUUGGUAUGCGAUUUUAGCAUUUUCAACAGUGUGGGUUUUUGCAGCUGGGUGGCAUGUGAUUUGUUUAGGCAUUCAACUGCCACUUCUGUUUGAUUUUGUUUGCUAUCUAUCAUACAUUUCUCUUUAUACCAAGUUAUUAACUUUUUAACAACAGUUACAUUCCAUAUAUUUGGCUGCAGAUUAAUAGAAAAGACUGAUCUUGCCUUAAAGCUCUAAGAAGAAAGUUCAGUGUGUCAGUCACAACUCCAGAAGGAGCUUCUGGUUUAACAACAGCGCAGGUCGUGUGUUUGCAUGAAGCAAUGUGCUCAAAUUGUAUCUCUUAAUAGGCGAUAAGUUACAAUACCAUCUCAUUUGCCAGACUUCAGUUAUAGUGCAGGUAGGUGUUACACGCCUUCUAUCUCUUUUUCGGCAUGUUAAGAGGCAGAAAUGGAGAGGGAAGAGAAGAAGGAAGGGAAAUUUUCACCUAGAGAAGGUGAAAAGUCCACCACAUAGCCUUCGCAAUGCUAUGGAUCGAUGGCAUAAGAUGCCUUACUAAUUUUUUUUAAUGAUCUGAAACAACAGAUGCUUUUACUUGCAAGUCUACAUUAUAAUAUCUCCUUUAUUCUGGGGAAAAGAGGGGGGGAAAAAA